AUACAGAUUGGUAAGCCUGACCAGA
Molecule: non-coding RNA, 25 nt
Filed under: Cricetulus griseus (Chinese hamster)
Lineage: Eukaryota; Metazoa; Chordata; Mammalia; Rodentia; Cricetidae
Source: RNAcentral